Non-coding RNA from Pangasianodon gigas (Mekong giant catfish), 73 nucleotides. Lineage: Eukaryota; Metazoa; Chordata; Actinopteri; Siluriformes; Pangasiidae. The record is from the annotation of a GenBank genome assembly.
GGGGGCAUGGUUUAUUGGUCAGCACAUUUGCCUCGAACCUCCAGGGUUGGGGGUUCAAUUCCCCCCUCCGCCC